GACGAACGCUGGCGGCGUGCCUAAUACAUGCAAGUCGAGCGGACCAAUAGAAGCUUGCUUCUAUUGGUUAGCGGCGGACGGGUGAGUAACACGUGGGCAACCUGCCUGUAAGACUGGGAUAACUUCGGGAAACCGGAGCUAAUACCGGAUAAUUCAUCCCCUCGCAUGAGGGGGUGCUGAAAGUCGGUUCACGCUGACACUUACAGAUGGGCCUGCGGCGCAUUAGCUAGUUGGUGAGGUAAUGGCUCACCAAGGCGACGAUGCGUAGCCGACCUGAGGGGGUGAUCGGCCACACUGGGACUGAGACACGGCCCAGACUCCUACGGGAGGCAGCAGUAGGGAAUCUUCCACAAUGGACGAAAGUCUGAUGGAGCAACGCCGCGUGAGCGAUGAGGGCCUUCGGGUCGUAAAGCUCUGUUGUUAGGGAAGAACAAGUACCGGAGUAACUGCCGGUACCUUGACGGUACCUAACCAGAAAGCCACGGCUAACUACGUGCCAGCAGCCGCCGUAA
This 512-nucleotide ribosomal RNA is filed under the name uncultured bacterium. RNAcentral's name for it is "partial 16S ribosomal RNA". It matches the Rfam family "Bacterial small subunit ribosomal RNA", at positions 28 to 523 of the family's 1533-position model. The record is from RNAcentral.